AUGAACGCUGGCGGCGUGCCUAAUACAUGCCAGUCGAGCGAACGGACGAGAAGCUUGCUUCUCUGAUGUUAGCGGCGGACGGGUGAGUAACACGUGGAUAACCUACCUAUAAGACUGGGAUAACUUCGGGAAACCGUAGCUAAUACCGGAUAAUAUUUUGAACCGCUUGGUUCAAAAGUGAAAGACGGUCUUGCUGUCACUUAUAGAUGGAUCCGCGCUGCAUUAGCUAGUUGGUAAGGUAACGGCUUACCAAGGCAACGAUGCAUAGCCGACCUGAGAGGGUGAUCGGCCACACUGGAACUGAGACACGGUCCAGACUCCUACGGGAGGCAGCAGUAGGGAAUCUUCCGCAAUGGGCGAAAGCCUGACGGAGCAACGCCGCGUGAGUGAUGAAGGUCUUCGGAUCGUAAAACUCUGUUAUUAGGGAAGAACAUAUGUGUAAGUAACUGUGCACAGCUUGACGGUACCUAAUCAGAAAGCCACGGCUAACUACGUG
Molecule: ribosomal RNA, 496 nt
Filed under: uncultured bacterium
Lineage: Bacteria
Description: partial 16S ribosomal RNA
Rfam family: Bacterial small subunit ribosomal RNA
Source: RNAcentral